AUAAAAAUUGAGGCUUCUUUUGUCAUUAAAUUUAUUUGAUUUUAGGGUGUGCUCCGUGCCAGCGCACUGUUCGCCCUUCCCCUUGAGCCGCGCUGCUUAGUGCUAUCAUUUCUCUAAUUAACUAGAAUCUGUAAAUUGUUUCAGAAUCCUCUUUUAUCGGGUUGAUUAAAUGGGAAAAUGUUAUGCACUUUUUUUGUAGCCUUAGACUUAUGUAAUUUCCAGUGAUAUUUAGAGAUAAUAAUUAAUCCGCUAUAUACCUGAAUUCCUAUUGUAUUAUUCUAGUAACGCAACUCUUAUCAAGUUAUCAUUAAUAACACUUCAGGAUACUAUCUUUUAGCAUAAAUGGUAAUUUGACUAUAUAACUUUCAGUCGAAAAAAUCUAACCUAUAUUAAAAGGGAUAUAUGAAGGCUUCUAAGAUGUGUCACGUAGGAUUAAAAAUUCAUCCAAUCAAAAGGUUAUAUUUUGACAUGUCACGCAGCUGUGUCCAUCUGACUCUUCAUUCUUCUUUACCAUCUCCGUUCUCUAGCAAUCACCGUUACUGUGAAACCCUCCUCAUCAAUCAAAGUUGCUAUUUAAUCUCUUCUUCACGGUUUUGUUCCAUCUCCCGUAGAUUCUCCUACGAUAUAAGCCGCUUCA
Molecule: long non-coding RNA, 637 nt
Filed under: Brassica napus (rape)
Lineage: Eukaryota; Viridiplantae; Streptophyta; Magnoliopsida; Brassicales; Brassicaceae
Description: long non-coding RNA (BNAP_LNC026671)
Source: RNAcentral